Styela clava is the source of this 1138-nucleotide non-coding RNA. The record is from RefSeq and is a predicted model, not a curated record. Lineage: Eukaryota; Metazoa; Chordata; Ascidiacea; Stolidobranchia; Styelidae.
CAUUGUUUCUUUUUAGACCAGUCCAUAGACCGUUAGGAUAGGUACGAAACUAUAAAGAACUAUAGGAAUCUAUUUGCUUGUACUAGUAAUUAAGCUACAGAAUGCAGAGUAUUCAAAGUCGAAUGAAAAGCCGGAAAAAUCCUAGGUGUAGGUGAAGCAGCUGAUGGUCAACUACAUAGGUCAAAGAUAACACAAAUUCUUGGAAAUGAUUCUUUGACGAAUUGGCAGAUUGCUCGAGCAGAAUAUCCAGUAGGUCUUCAAGCAUUACAGUGGUUAUCUUGUUUAUGGUUUUCUGUCAUUGGAUUGAUCAGUCUGUUUUCUCCUGAAAGUAUUUUACCGCCUACUUUACUGAAAUCGGUCGACAUUUCAGAACAAGAUGCAACCCCCAACAGAGAAUUAUUAGUCGGAAUGCGACUAUCACUAAUUUCAGGAACUCGUCUGUACGGUGCUGCCAUGGUGGCUUUGGCAUCAUUAUGUUUAAUCGUCACCUUAGCUAAUUGGCAGAGCCGACGAGCAAUCAGAAUCGCCCUUCUGGUUCAAGGAAUAUUCUGUACAUCUGAAAUUCUAGCUUCAUUUUUGUCUGGCCCUUCACAUUGGGAUCAAAUUAGUCGACAUCCACUUAUUUGCUGCACAAUUCGCAUCUUAGUCAGCGUUGCUUCAUUCUACUAUUUCAAACAAACCAGACCCUGCACACAUGGAAUCAUGAAGAGAGCAUCGGAAUAAGUUUCAAAUAUGCAACCGAAACUGAGAUAUCAUAGCAUGCUCAACGUCAAAACUCAAUCAUGAAAUAGUUGUAUUUACCUCGAUAACGACUUACGUGGCGGCAAGCGGAAAUACAACUGAAAGUCAAAAUGUUUCGAGACCAACGUUAUGGGAAGUAAUCGAUUGCUCGAUCGCCAACUAUUUCCCAAACAUUUUCACAGACUUGGAAUGGAAAAUGAGUACCGGCGAUAAACUCCAUCGCAUUACACAUCUCUCACUUUCGAAAAAGCCUGCCGUCUUCAUGACCACGUAUACCCGUAUUGACUCUUCUCAAAUUUUUGAUAUAACUUUGCUGUGCAAUUUAAACCUUGUAAUAUCAAAUACUGCACAUUGUUUGUGUGCAUAAAUAUUUCUAUAAAUAGUCUCGGUAUAAAAA